GGGAAGGUAGCUCAGUGGUAGAGUGCUUGUCUUGCAUGCAUGAGGCCCUGGGUUCAAUUCCUCAGCACCA
This is a non-coding RNA of Dipodomys ordii (Ord's kangaroo rat), 70 nucleotides long. The record is from Rfam. Lineage: Eukaryota; Metazoa; Chordata; Mammalia; Rodentia; Heteromyidae.